Molecule: transfer RNA, 72 nt
Filed under: Gemmatimonadaceae bacterium
Lineage: Bacteria; Pseudomonadati; Gemmatimonadota; Gemmatimonadia; Gemmatimonadales; Gemmatimonadaceae
Also listed under: 2 other names
Description: tRNA-Gln
Rfam family: tRNA
About the family: Transfer RNA (tRNA) molecules are approximately 80 nucleotides in length. Their secondary structure includes four short double-helical elements and three loops (D, anti-codon, and T loops).
Source: RNAcentral
UGCCCCCUCGUCCAAUGGUUAGGACGCCGGUCUUUGGAUCCGGUAAUGGUGGUUCGAGUCCACCGGGGGCAA